Molecule: ribosomal RNA, 203 nt
Filed under: uncultured eukaryote
Lineage: Eukaryota
Description: partial 18S ribosomal RNA
Rfam family: Eukaryotic small subunit ribosomal RNA
Source: RNAcentral
UGGUGGAGUGAUUUGUCUGGUUAAUUCCGUUAACGAACGAGACCUCCGCCUAUUAAAUAGGUGGUUAGGAUUCUAAUAAGUGAAUCGUUCCCCGGUGUUCUCAGUCUCGGCUGGGUUCUCGGGGGCGAGGAUCUAUGAAACGCUUAAUUCGUCUUCUUAGAGGGACUACCCGCGGUAAGCGGGGGAAGUUGGAGGCAAUAACA